UGAAUGAUGACCACGUUUGCGUACAAGC
RNAcentral lists this non-coding RNA (28 nucleotides) under Bombyx mori (domestic silkworm). Lineage: Eukaryota; Metazoa; Arthropoda; Insecta; Lepidoptera; Bombycidae. The record is from RNAcentral.